Molecule: unclassified non-coding RNA, 152 nt
Filed under: uncultured Pleosporaceae
Lineage: Eukaryota; Fungi; Ascomycota; Dothideomycetes; Pleosporales; Pleosporaceae
Description: sequence contains ITS2
Source: RNAcentral
AAGCCUUCAAGCCUUGCUUGGUGUUGGGCGUUGUCUGCGUGUGUGCGGACUCGCUUCAAAUGCAUUGGCAGUCAGCAAUGGGGUUGUUGGAGCGCAGCACAUUUUGCGUUCCCAGCCACAGGUGCCGGCGUCCACAAAGCUUAUUUCAACGU